Solanum lycopersicum (tomato) is the source of this 84-nucleotide non-coding RNA. Lineage: Eukaryota; Viridiplantae; Streptophyta; Magnoliopsida; Solanales; Solanaceae. The record is from Rfam.
UUGUUUGUGAUGAUUAUAAACAAUUCCUCGUUCUGAAUACGAUGGCAUGAUAGACUCUUUUACACCCAUAGAAUAUGAGCAAAC